Molecule: ribosomal RNA, 522 nt
Filed under: Triticum aestivum (bread wheat)
Lineage: Eukaryota; Viridiplantae; Streptophyta; Magnoliopsida; Poales; Poaceae
Description: partial small subunit ribosomal RNA
Source: RNAcentral
AUGAGCGGGGGGCCUAAGCUCAGUUCUUUGAAUCAAAGGUUUCAUGAAAUCGAAAUCGAUUCUUUUUUAGAUAUCUGGAUAGAUGGAUGGAUCUAUCUUUCUAUUCAGAUAUCUUUUGCAAUCAGCCCCAAAUCCUUGAUUUGGCCAGGAAACAAAGCACUGCUUUGGGCCCAGGAAGCGAAGGGAAUGAGCUCGGCUGCUUCUCCCCUACACUUCUUUAUUUCUCCGUGCCCCUUCCGCAUGCGCUUCGCGCGCCAUUGGCGCUUUGCUCUCCUCUUAUUUCUUCAUUGGAGGGUUCGGAUGGACUUCGUCGUUCUUUCCCAACGAAAAUGGAAAGGGCUGUAUCACAUCGAGAUGUCGAUUCGUUUUCCGCCCCAAAUGAGAUGGGGAAUUAGUCACCUCUGUCCCUUCAUCUUUUUGAAAGGAAUCGAGGCCCGGCCCGGCUCGCGUCGUUCCAACAACCGACGGGGAGCACCUCAGUAUACGAUCGCGCGCAGUAACUGGGAGUCCUAUUACACCUAA